Myodes glareolus (Bank vole) is the source of this 835-nucleotide non-coding RNA. The record is from RefSeq and is a predicted model, not a curated record. Lineage: Eukaryota; Metazoa; Chordata; Mammalia; Rodentia; Cricetidae.
UACAGGACUGGCAGCAAGAUCCCAGCCCCGCCCCACCCAAGUUUUAGUGGGCGGGGCCUACUGGAAGGGGCGGGGCUGGCGGCGGCGCGGCGCGAGUGGCUGCUCCUGCGCCUGCGCAGUCUGAUGGCAGAGGCCUGAGCUAGAGGGCUUCCGCUGCCGGUAGCCGGGGCGCCUGGAGAAGGGAAAGGGAAUGCAGUAGAGUAGGGCGCGCCUGGGUCCCCGACUCAGCCCCAAGUGAGCCCGAGGUAUUUUCCUUAUAUGAUCAGGCCUCCCGUGGCCGGCGCUGCUGGUCCGGAGCCUGAGAGGAUUAUGAAAACGUGGCAGGGUUUCCUGCUUUCUGGAACUUGCCCUGUAGACGAGGCUAGCCUCAAACGACGAGAUCCGCCUAAAUACUGGGAUUAAAGGCGUGCUCCUCCAAGCACGGCUUUAACCUAAUCAUUUUUCGUCAAAACCUUCAGGAAUUACAGAAAUGUGGAAAGGUUUUAAAAUGCAGAACUGGAGACUAAACCAGAGUCUGGAACAUGUUGUGUACGCCUUCUACCUUGUGCUACACCUUCGCCUACCAUAAAAUUUCCAUAGUGGUUCCUGGGGCUGCGUGUCUGAAAGCAUCAUCCAUCCAUGGAGAUGCCUUGUUUGGUCUGCAAUGAAAUAGGGAGGAUGUAAAGGCCCAGCAACCACUGCAUUGUUAAGCACAGCUCCAGCGGAAACUCUGGUCUUCUGGAAGAACUGAAGCUGUUGUUUCUUAGGCUGUAGAGAGGGUUAGUUAACCCCUCCCUCCUUCUGGCUAAUUACUAUGCUUUUGUUUAGUGAACCUUUGUACCUCCUGACCAACCAG